RNAcentral lists this ribosomal RNA (450 nucleotides) under uncultured bacterium. Its description in RNAcentral is "partial 16S ribosomal RNA". It matches the Rfam family "Bacterial small subunit ribosomal RNA", at positions 354 to 796 of the family's 1533-position model. The record is from RNAcentral.
GUGGGGAAUCUUCCGCAAUGGACGAAAGUCUGACGGGGCAACGCCGCGUGAGUGAUGAAGGUCUUCGGAUUGUAAAGCUCUGUUAAUCGGGACGAAAGAGCCUAGUGUGAAUAAUGCUAGGAAGUGACGGUACCGGAAUAGAAAGCCACGGCUAACUACGUGCCAGCAGCCGCGGUAAUACGUAGGUGGCAAGCGUUGUCCGGAAUUAUUGGGCGUAAAGCGCGCGCAGGCGGAUCUGCCAGUCUGUCUUAAAAGUUCGGGGCUUAACCCCGUGAUGGGAUGGAAACUACAGAUCUAGAGUAUCGGAGAGGAAAGUGGAAUUCCUAGUGUAGCGGUGAAAUGCGUAGAUAUUAGGAAGAACACCAGUGGCGAAGGCGACUUUCUGGACGAAAACUGACGCUGAGGCGCGAAAGCCAGGGGAGCGAACGGGAUUAGAAACCCCGGUAGUCC